Molecule: unclassified non-coding RNA, 336 nt
Filed under: soil metagenome
Description: partial contains 5.8S ribosomal RNA, internal transcribed spacer 2, and large subunit ribosomal RNA
Rfam family: 5.8S ribosomal RNA (bases 1-120)
Source: RNAcentral
GAUGAAGAACGCAGCGAAAUGCGAUAAGUAAUGUGAAUUGCAGAAUUCAGUGAAUCAUCGAAUCUUUGAACGCACAUUGCGCCCGCCAGUAUUCUGGCGGGCAUGCCUGUUCGAGCGUCAUUUCAACCAUCAAGCCCCAGGCUUGUGUUGGGGACCUGCGGCUGCCGCAGGCCCUGAAAACCAGUGGCGGACUCGCUGUCACACCGGGCGUAGUAGAUUUUAUCUCGCUCAGGGCGUGCUGCGGGUUCCGGCCGUUAAAAAGCCUUUUUUACCCAAGGUUGACCUCGGAUCAGGUAGGAAGACCCGCUGAACUUAAGCAUAUCAAUAAGCGGAGGA